UUUGUCCCUUUGGGAUUGGCUUAUUUCACUCAACAUAAUGUUUUCCAAAUUCCUAACAGGGAUCACUUUUCAGUUAAAAUUUAAACACCUUAGAGUAAUUGUGUGUUAAUUACAGAGUUCAACCAAUGGUACUAGAAAAAAAAAUACUAAAAUGGAUAAAGUAUUACAUUGUACAUCAACCGUCAGGACAAGAGCUGAUCAAGUCACUGUUUCUCACAGUGUCCAUUUCACUUCAACAAGUUUCCCCUUUGGUGCUCAGUUAGUUGUCACCGAUCAGGGAGAACAUAUGAUAUUUGUCCCUUUGGGACUGGCUUAAUUCACUCAGCAGGAUGUUUUCCAAAUUCCUCCAUCUUGUUGCAAAUGACUGGGUUUCGUUGUUUUUGACUGCUGUAUAGUAUUCUAUAGAGUACAUGUCCCAUAAUUUCUUUAUCCAGUCUACUGUUGAUGGGCAUUUGGGUUGGUUCCAGGUCUUAGCUAUUGUGAAUUGAGCUGCAAUAAACAUUAAGGUGCAGACAGCUUGUUUGUUUGCCAAUUUCAUUUCCUUUGGGUAAAUUCCAAGGAGUGGUAUGGCUGGGUUGAAUGGUAGGGUUAUCUUCAGGUUUCUGAGGAAUCUCCAGACUGACUUCCAUAGUGGCUUGACCAGUUUGCAUUCCCACCAACAGUGGGUUAGUGUCCCUUUUUCCCCACAUCCUCUCCAGCAUC
Non-coding RNA from Oryctolagus cuniculus (rabbit), 702 nucleotides. Lineage: Eukaryota; Metazoa; Chordata; Mammalia; Lagomorpha; Leporidae. The record is from RefSeq and is a predicted model, not a curated record.